GAAGACGUGAUUUCUUUGGUAGCCUCUCC
This 29-nucleotide non-coding RNA is filed under the name Mus musculus (house mouse). The record is from RNAcentral. Lineage: Eukaryota; Metazoa; Chordata; Mammalia; Rodentia; Muridae.